GACUUUGGAGCCUUCGUGCUUCUAAUUUCCAGCAUCCCUGUUAAAACAACACCUGUGAUUGGGUUACUUGGUCCUUUUUACUGGAUGCUCCAACAAGAAUAUGUUAUAUAUCAUCAUCUUCUGCAAUGACAUAGGCUGGAGAAGUCAAGUGCCAUCUACUCAUGUCUCACAUAAGGAGUGGCAACAAGGAAACUAUUGAUUUCCUGGGAACUUCAGAAUCAAGGCCAAAGGGGAACUCAGAUUUAUGACAUGAAAAGUUGGAAGAGUGGAGGUUCUGCAGGGGCUGCUUUCAAGGUUAUUGUGCAUCCCGAAGAGGAGAUCAGCAAUGUUCCAGAAAAAGACUGUUCCAUCAGUCGAUUCUGGAACAAAGAGGACAUGGAUAAAACUUCAAUUCUUUUUGUUGUUGUUGUUUGUUUUUUUUUCCUUUUUUUAUUUUUUAAACUUUUAUUUAAUGAAUAUA
This is a non-coding RNA of Oryctolagus cuniculus (rabbit), 460 nucleotides long. NCBI's taxonomy places the organism in Eukaryota, Metazoa, Chordata, Mammalia, Lagomorpha, Leporidae. The record is from RefSeq and is a predicted model, not a curated record.